Salvia miltiorrhiza (redroot sage) is the source of this 4328-nucleotide RNA transcript. RefSeq lists it as uncharacterized. NCBI's taxonomy places the organism in Eukaryota, Viridiplantae, Streptophyta, Magnoliopsida, Lamiales, Lamiaceae. The transcript is spliced from 9 exons. The record is from RefSeq and is a predicted model, not a curated record.
ACUCGAAUGCGUUAGAGAUGUUGUAUUGUGAAUAAAGAUUUGUUUAUGAAUAGAAGAAUGAGGUUGUUUGGAGUGUUUGUUUGUUGUUUUGGUUUGUAGAGAGGAAUAAUUUAGGGCCAAGAAUGGGGAAAAUUCUAUGGUGCGGAAGCUUCAAUACAACUCGGCCGUUACGAUUGAGAUACGUGUAAUGUCAAAAAAAAGAAAAAAAAAAAGAGGUAACCAUGGUUUGGCUGGCCGCCCGAGGAAAAAAUUGCAGAAAUUUCCACCCGAAGAAGAAAUUGGAUCCGUGUCUGAGAUACGUCGAGAAAUUUUGGCCGAGAGCAACAUUGUUCAACGGCGAAUUUGACGCUGAAUCCGAAUAUGUUUUCAGAUUCAAGAACGAUGGCGUAUAGAAAAAGUGCCUGAGAGUUUCGAUGAGGCGAUCACUGUUUCGGCCAAGGGCUCUCGAUAUUUGCGCCAGAUUUUUCAACGGGAACAUGAUGGUGAGUCGGAAAAAUAGUUUCUGAAUUAUUUUUAUUUUUGUAUUUUGUUCGAAAUGGUGUUUUAUGUUUGAAUUUGUUAUUUUAUAAUGAAUUUGUUUCCAAUAAAUUGGUCCUUCUUCGUCUUCUUGAGUGCAUCGCCGUGGUGGAGGUGCCUCUUUCGCCUCUCCUUCUCUCUGCCAACCUCACCUACUCCGAUUUUCUCAAUCCCUCUUUUCUCUCUCUAAAGAUCCAAUUUUGCUCGAGGGUUUUUGAUUGUGUAGCGUUCCAGCCGUUAGCUCGUUAGUAUUUCAAAGGUUGCUUUCAAAACAGGUGAUUACAAACAGCAAGUUAUUUUUAUUGGUGGGCAGUGGGCUGACCGAUGGGUUUUUGGCUACCGUGAGAUUUUGGGGGAAUUAAGAUUUUGUCAAGAGGUUCAAGCAGAGCCUGGUAUGAGUUCCCUGUUUCUUUUGUUGGUUUCUCUUGCUACUCUGAAUAGGCUCAUUGGAUGUUAACAAGAUAUCUCUAAAAUGUUCCUAGUAAUAUGUGAUGUUUUUGGAGCCUUACCUUUUAAGUUCAGGCACUAUAGCUUUUGCAUAGCAAGUUGAAAUCACACUCUAAUACCAUUAGUCGACUUUCAUAAGCAUAAUACAGCUCCUUUUUAGGAGUACUCAGUACAGAUGGUUUUAUAUAAUUUCUGAACCAUUAAAGUAACUCCAUACCCACUAAUCCCUUGCAAGAGUAACAAUACAUUUUGUUAAGCUACAGGAGUGGGCAUAUUAAGUGAAGUCAUUGAAAAGGGUGGGGUAAAAAACUUACUAUUAGAUAUUGAUUUUGUAAGAAACAAGUGAUGCUCAUGGAUAUUGGGUGAUCAAGUGGACCCAGCUCUGGUGGCUAUACAACAAGUAUUGUUCUGCCCUUGGUGCAGAUUUUGCACUUUAUACUUUUAAGUUUAAACAUCUAUCAUCUUGUAUUAAGCAUUGUAUGUCCUGAAAAUUUUCUCAAGAGAGUAGCCUGACAAUUUUUCUCAUGAAACACUUACAUCAGACCAACAGAAACGAGCUGGGCGAUCCUAUGAUGCCCACUUAUAUGAGAGGUUGGAUGCUAAACCAAACCAAGGUCAGGGAUCCUUUUUGGAGGGUUUGGUUACAACUUCUCCUGUAAUAAAAAAAUUGGAUGGGUAUUUCAAUUUUUUUCAUUUGGACAGAUUCUUCUAUUUUCUAUCAAUUGACAACAUUUUAUGUUUAUUAUGUUCUUUAAGUGUGCAAUAUUGUUGCCUAAGCUUUUUAGUAUGUCAUUAAGUGUGCAAAAAUUGAUUUUCUAUAUACUCCUUUCUUUAUCUUCAGUUUUGCUUCUUUCCUAACUAAUAUAGCAGCUGAUAUUUCUCAUGAAUAAUCAUGUAUACAUAUAUACAUAUGGGAAUUUUUUGUGCUUUAUAUACCUGUAGUGUCACAAGCAAUCCUUUGCUGGUAGAGCGCCACAUUGUGUUAUUAUUUAGAAUGAACAUUUAUUUGUGCUUUAUAUACCUGUAGUGUCUUUACAUGAAUAUUACAUUGCACCACUAUAAAUUUUUUGGAUUCUAAUAGACUUUAAGUGGAAUUCAGCAUCUAUAGUUUGGAUUUGUGCAUUUUCCUUUCCAGUUCAGUCCAAGGGAAAGCAAACAUCAGGUUAACCAGGACCAUGGACUUUAUAGUAUGAAUUAGUAAGGUGCUGUCGUUAGCUGUUAUCAGAGCUAUUCUCUCCCAAUUUUAUCCUGAAAAUUACUGUAGCCCCUGGCCGAUUGGCUCAAAGCAGCAGAAGCUAGCCACAUCUGAUAUAAAGUGAGAAGACCAACUGAUUUUUUUAUUUUAUUUUAUCUUCUGCUGAUUUUUAGUAUCUCGAGCUCUGAGCUGCUCGUGCAGGGAUGACGACGUUGCAAAGUGGAAGAAGGUGGAGAUGGUGUUGGAAGCAUAUGGAUCAGAUGCUAAUUCAAUAUUGCAGCUGACAACAUCAAAAAGGUCUACAAUAUGGCUUGAUCAAGUCUCAGCACUCGGAUGCCAAGCAGCUGAGAAGGAACUCCCACAACAAGACCAUUUAAGAUUGAAUGGACCAUUGCCUGAUUUUCGUUCUAUUUCUGAACUGUAACUGAAAGACAACGUGCGAUACUAGAAGAAUUUGAGAAGGAACAAUUGGAUGAAAAUAACAGAUCUGGUGCAGGCAGUUGGGACAUGGAUUUCGACAAGAUCUUUUCAACAUGCUUGCUGCUUUGAAGCCGGGAUUUAUCAGAUUUCCAGGUGAUUGUGAAGAGUGGGGAUGACUGUAGACAGGAACACCUGGCUGUACAACUUAUUUCUCACUUUUAUGAUAUAUUCCAGGAGGCUGGUCUCUCACUGUGGUUGCGUCCUUAUGAAGUUUUAGUUACUUCUUCUUAUACAGCUCUUAUUGAAACCAUACCAGACACGAUUCAAGAACGAUGGCGUAUAGAAAAAGUGCCUGAGAAUUUCGGUGAGGCUAUAGCUGUUUCGGCCAAUGGCUCUCGAUAUUUGCGCCAAAUUUUUCAACGGGAAGAUGUGCAUCGCCGAGGUGGAGGUGCCUCUUUCUCUCUCAGAUUGUCUCUUCAAACUAGUGCUAAUUGGCGAUUCGGGUGUUGGGAAAUCGAAUCUUCUCUCGAGAUUCACCAAGAGCGAGUUAAAUCUCGAGUCCAAGUCCACUAUAGGCGUUGAGUUCGCAACCCGGAGUCUUAAUAUUGAUGGUAAAGUUAUCAAGACUCAGAUUUGGGAUACCGCUGGUCAUGAAAGGUCUCCCCUUUUUCUUUUUCCUUGUUCUCUAUUUUUUUUUCCUGAUCUUUUUGGGCAAGAUUCGAUUUUUAUUAUUGUGUGUUUGCUUUUUGUUUGACUUGAACAAGAUAACCGCCAUUUUGUGUGUUGUUGAUGAUGCAGAAGUGCAAUUCCGUCCUUCUGUAGUUGGGAGUUUAUGUGUGUGUGUUUUGUGGGGAGAUUGCUUCUGAUGCGGUGUUUCAUUGCUGAUUUUUUAUUCCUUGUACCUCUGUUUUCUCCCCUCUACUGCCAACCUGCAGAAUUUUCAUUACAUAUUACAACAUCAAUGCUAAAUGGAGCAUUUUUUUUGUUGUUAUCACUUACAGCAAUUGUAAUUGAUGUAGUUUCUAUGAUAAUUUAGACGAAGAAACUGUGUAUUUGUUUAGACGAUGUUCCAUUGUAGAGUUCAAAUCAUUCUAGGAUGCCAAAUGUUGUGCUUUAUAUUGGUGAGCUCUUGGAGAUUGGUAUAUGAAACUCCCAGUUGGAUAUGAAUUUCAGAUGACUAAGCUGACUGAGGACGAUGAGUUCUUGAUAAUUGCAUGCGAUGGUAUUUGGGAUGUUAUGUCGAACCAGGAGGCAGUUAGCCUAGUACAGAAAGAGCUGAGGUACCACAACGACCCAGAACAAUGAAGCGUUAAUGCGAGAUAUAGGUGACAACGUCACAGCCAUCAUGGUUUGUUUCUCCUCUUCUAAGCGUCAAGAUACAGUUUCUUGUCAAAGACCGAGACUGAGAUUCUGCAAGGGCCAAGUUGAGGAAGUUCAUAGAAGGCAAUUGAAUGAAAACCGGGCAUACACCUUUGAUCCUUGUUUGGGCGAGAGCUGCUGUAGCUGCUUGAGCUAGCUAUACACUAUAUUCUUUGUGAAGAUAAUCAUACAUAUCAAAUGAUUAUUUUUCUUCUGUUUUGAGGUUGCUUCAGAAAGCAGUGAGAAAAAGCAACCUUGUGUAUUGGUGGCAGUGGUCAUGAGUGAAUCUAAAUAUUAUUGAAUUUUGAACAAUUUUGGUCGUUUAGGUUCUUUGUAUUCAAUUUUUUGGCUACCAUCUCAAUGAAUGUGAACCCCCUAAGAUUCUUGCCCA